Molecule: long non-coding RNA, 708 nt
Organism: Physcomitrium patens
Lineage: Eukaryota; Viridiplantae; Streptophyta; Bryopsida; Funariales; Funariaceae
Source: RefSeq, a predicted model, not a curated record
CUGUGAUUUCGACAAAUGUGCUUUCUGACUUCGAUCUCUUUAUUCCAGAGCCAGAUUUCUUAAGAAGUGUAUUUGUAUUCACGCGUUUCUGAGGUAUUUUUUGAGAAUUUGAGCUUCGUUCAUCAUGGAUGGGUGCGGCAACUCUAAUUGCAACUGCGGUGCCGAUUGCACUUGCAGCCACUGCAAAUGUGGAAGGACACUUGCCGCACCUUCAUUUGGUGGAAACCGCAACUACAAUGUGGAGAAUGAUUGCAAGUGCGGACACAACUGCAAUUGUGCUGACUGCGACUGCCACAAGUGAAUGAAGCGAACCUCCUGGACAUUAGAGGCUUGAUUUACAUUAGAAAUUGUAAAUACGAUCUCAAAAUGACACUUUUGUGGUUUUGAGUUCUGAGAAUCCAUAGAAUCAUACGUAUUUCAGGCUUUACUUUCAGGAUUAUUAUUGGAAGUUAGUUCUAAGUACUCAUUAGAGUUAAUGAGUUUUCUGUUUCUUUUUCAACUUAGAGUAAAUAAUAUUUCUAUGUAGCAGAAUGAGUUUUAAAUAGUUGGUUAAUAGUGAUGUAAUUAUAUUUCUGCAUGUAACAGUCUUCAAAUUUGAGGUGCUCUGCAGUAGAGAACUUUUGCAGAAGGCUGUGGCUUAUGCUAAUGACAUAUUCAGCUUUUACCAUGGGAAAUAAACGCUGCUAAACAGUUGUUACUUUUUUCUAA